This 1743-nucleotide ribosomal RNA is filed under the name Triticum aestivum (bread wheat). RNAcentral's name for it is "partial small subunit ribosomal RNA". The record is from RNAcentral. Lineage: Eukaryota; Viridiplantae; Streptophyta; Magnoliopsida; Poales; Poaceae.
AUGCCGCCGCCGCCGCCGCCGUCGCAGGGAGCAAUGGCCACCGGCGCCGCCAACCACCUCCUCCCCUGCUCCGUCGGCCGUCCGAAGGUGACGAAUCAGCGGCGCAGACCCGCUUCCCUCUCCGUGCGCGCGUCCAGCGACGCCAACACCGUGACGCUCCUGGACUAUGGCGCGGGCAACGUCCGCAGCGUGCGCAACGCAAUCCGUCACCUCGGCUUCAACAUCCGCGACGUGCGGAGUCCCGAGGACAUCCUCGCCGCCGACCGCCUCGUAUUCCCCGGAGUCGGAGCUUUCGGCUCCGCCAUGGAUGUCAUCAACAGUACAGGCAUGGCCGACGCGCUUCGCGAGUACAUCCGCAGGGACCGCCCCUUCCUGGGUAUCUGCCUCGGCCUUCAGCUGCUAUUCGAUUCCAGCGAGGAGAAUGGCCCGGUAAGCGGCCUUGGUGUGAUACCUGGAGUUGUCAGGCGGUUCGACUCUUCGGAGGGUCUCAUAGUGCCUCACAUUGGAUGGAACGCGCUCCAGAUCACCAAGGACACGCAGCUGCUGCAAGGAGCUGAUGGCCACCAUGUGUACUUCGUUCACUCCUAUCACGCUCUACCUUCAGAUGCGAACAGAGACUGGAUUUCGUCAACAUGUAACUACGGUGAGAGUUUCAUAUCAUCUAUCUCGAUGGGCAACAUUCAGGCAGUUCAAUUUCAUCCAGAGAAGAGCGGAGCUACUGGGCUUUCCAUUUUUGAAAAAUUUCUCAGUCCUAACUCUUCAGGGGCAAAGGCCCCAGCUCAUAGGAAAGCAUCAAAACUUGCAAAGAGAGUGAUAGCAUGCCUUGAUGUUCGGUCAAAUGAUAAUGGGGAUCUUGUAGUAACAAAGGGUGACCAGUAUGAUGUAAGAGAUCAUAGUAGUAGCAAAGAGGUAAGAAACCUUGGAAAGCCAGUGGAAUUAGCAAGUCAAUACUACAUAGAUGGGGCUGAUGAGGUCAGCUUCUUGAAUAUAACUGGUUUCCGUGCCUUUCCAUUGGGUGAUUUGCCAAUGCUAGAGGUGCUACGUUGCGCAUCUGAAAAAGUUUUUGUGCCACUUACAGUUGGUGGCGGUAUAAGAGACUUCACAGAUGAAAGUGGACGAUACUAUUCAAGCUUGGAAGUAGCAUCAGAAUAUUUCAGGUCUGGUGCUGACAAGAUUUCAAUUGGAAGUGAUGCUGUUUUUGCUGCUGAAGCCUAUUUACAGACUGGUGUGAAGACAGGGAAAAGCAGCUUGGAGCAAAUUUCUAGAGUAUAUGGAAAUCAGGCUGUAGUUGUAAGUAUUGAUCCUCGAAGAGUAUAUGUAAAAAGUCCAGAUGAGGUGCAAUUUAAAACUGUAAAAGUGUCCAGUAAAGGUCCAUCAGGAGAAGAAUAUGCAUGGUACCAGUGCACAGUAAGUGGUGGGCGUGAUAGCCGGCCUAUAGGAGCAUAUGAACUAGCAAAAGCUGUCGAAGAAUUGGGCGCAGGAGAAAUACUACUCAACUGCAUUGAUUGUGAUGGUCAGGGCGGUGGGUUUGAUAUAGAUUUGAUCAAAAUGGUGUCGGAUGCUGUGACAAUUCCUGUCAUUGCAAGCAGUGGUGCUGGUGCUGUGGAACAUUUUUCUGAAGUCUUUGAGAAAACAAAUGCUUCUGCUGCCCUUGCUGCUGGCAUUUUCCAUCGGAAAGAGGUUCCCAUUCUAGCAGUGAAAGAGCAUCUGGUAGAUGCUGGUGUGGAGGUCAGAAUGCUGUAA